RNAcentral lists this long non-coding RNA (521 nucleotides) under Ananas comosus (pineapple). Its description in RNAcentral is "long non-coding RNA (ACOM_LNC044719)". Lineage: Eukaryota; Viridiplantae; Streptophyta; Magnoliopsida; Poales; Bromeliaceae. The record is from RNAcentral.
UAUAUAUGAGUUGAGCUAGGAUACUUUUACAAGUAUCGCCCCUAUGGUGCUAUUAGGUUUUUAGCCAUUGGUUCUACUUCUUGAUUACUAAUAGUCCUUGGAUCAAACACUAUUCCACCUACCACCACCUACCACCAUCAUCUCAACCUCACAUCUCUCCAUCUAAAGGCUAAAAACACUAAAGCACCACUCCCAUGGUACUUGUAAAAGUAUUCUAGCUCCACUCUAUAUAUAUAGAAUUAGGCUGGAAUACUAUUAAUAGUAAAACACUCUUUUUGCUAUCAAGUUUUUAACCCUUGGAUGAAAAAUUGUAGGGUCGGGAUGAUAUUAGUCGGUUAGAGUUGAGUGGUCCCCCUAGGGUUGAGUGAUCCCCACUGGGUUAUAGUAUUUAAUCCAAUGGUUAGAAAUAAUGAAAAGAGUUGAUCCAAAGGCUAAAAAACUGGUAGCAACAAUGAGAUUUUGCUACUAAUAGUAGCCCAGUCCAACUCUCUCUCUCUCUCUCUCUCUCUCUCUAUAUAUAU